Molecule: ribosomal RNA, 459 nt
Filed under: uncultured bacterium
Lineage: Bacteria
Description: partial 16S ribosomal RNA
Rfam family: Bacterial small subunit ribosomal RNA
Source: RNAcentral
CCUACGGGUGGCAGCAGUGAGGAAUAUUGGUCAAUGGUCGGGAGACUGAACCAGCCAAGCCGCGUGAGGGAUGAAGGUACAGAGUAUCGUAAACCUCUUUUGUCAGGGAACAAAUGCGGGGACGCGUCCCAGGAUGAGUGUACCUGUAGAAACAGCAUCGGCUAACUCCGUGCCAGCAGCCGCGGUAAUACGGGGGAUGCGAGCGUUAUCCGGAGUUAUUGGGGUAAAAGGGUGCGCAGGCGGUCUGUUAAGUCAGCGGGCAAAGCCCGGGGCUCAACCCCGGCCCGCCGUUGAAACUGGCAGUCUCGAGUGGGAGAGAAGUAUGCGGAAUGCGCGGUGUAGCGGUGAAAUGCAUAGAUAUCGCGCAGAACUCCGAUGGCGAAGGCAGCAUGCCGGCUCCACACUGACGCUGAGGCACGAAAGCGUGGGUAUCGAACAGGAUUAGAUACCCUAGUAGUC